Long non-coding RNA from Triticum aestivum (bread wheat), 2520 nucleotides. RefSeq lists it as uncharacterized. The record is from RefSeq and is a predicted model, not a curated record. Lineage: Eukaryota; Viridiplantae; Streptophyta; Magnoliopsida; Poales; Poaceae. The transcript is spliced from 7 exons.
UCUCCCAUCGAUACGCUUCUCGGCCGCCGCCACAGCGCCACCCCCAGCUCCCACUACGCCGCUCCCUCCACCGGCGCCACAUCUCCUCCAUCCGCUGGUCGUCGCGCCGUACCCCGCACGCUGCCGCCCACGCCUCCUCACUCCUUCGUCGGCCCUUCUGCACCGAUUGUGCCGGACAAUGUCGUCGCCGCUUCGUCGAGGGACCACGCCCCGAUUUGUCGGCGAGCAAUAUUGGAUGAUUAGCGGCGGCUACCAACACCAUGGCGCAGUCAGGGCAGCUCUCGGGCAACAGUGGAUCGGGCUCGGUUAGAAACUUUUAAUUUACUUGGAUGUGCUUCAUGCUCGGGCAGUAUAAUAGUCUAAACUGCAUUGUGUAACAAGUUCCACCUGCGUGCACAGGGUAUCUUCAAGGUUCAUGCUCUGAAUAUAAAUAAGAUUGACCAAGACAGCGAAUUGAUUGUAAAGAACGCGGAGAAAUUGGCUUCUGUUGCUUAUCUUAAACACUAUAUGGAUUAGAAGCUCUCGACCAUUCCUGAUCGAGAUUAGCCUUUGGAUGAUCCAAAACACCAUCCAGGAUGAUGGGCGAGUACAUCCCUGUUGCUUCAAUCUUGCAGUUCGUAAGCCUGCUUGCGCCGAAGUAGAGAGGAAUGCAAGCACUGGCUUUCUUGGAAGCAGGCACUUUUCCAUGCUCAAGCAUGAGCCCUAAGGCAGUCUUGGAUGUAACAAGAAAACCGCACCACGACGCUGGUUGGCCAUGUCAUAGGCCUUUUCCGUAAUCCGACGCGUUCAACUCUACAAUUGUAAGCGAUUCUCAUUCUUAAAAUUAGUUUGUUUAUUAUGUUAGCCAUGAACAUGUGUCUACCCAUAUCUAUUGACAAGAGCAGGACUAUGCUGAUUCAUACGUCCAUCAACCCAUAACAAACCGAGGAAGCCCUAUUGCUGAAGCAAAAUUUUAGCAAUGUGUUGCAAGCGAGGAACCCUGGUUGGAGUGCCCAAUUCAUGGAUUGGCCAGAAGACAACAUUUUAAUUACAGACCCAUGACCCUGGAUUCAAAUUCCUACAGAAAAUGGACCAUCAGUAUGGUACUCUCAGGCAUGACAUGUUUAGAACUGACGUAAGUAUAUCUAUAGUGAGUUUUGGUGUGCCAUAUAUUUGCUAAAUAUAUGUACUGAGUUCGGCAGAGUCAUCUCAUAUUACUGGUAUGAGAGCAUUGCACAUGCUCCAUCGAAUAACUAUUUAUUAGUAAUUUCGAACUACAAUCGCCUAAUGUAAGGACUCUUUUUUUUGUACCUCUAGAAAUAUUUUAGUUGUGAUCUGAAAAUUUGUAUCCUUUAUCAAGCACAAGAUCAAUGGGUACAACUUUUAGAAGUACAUUUGUUUAGUGUUACCUAAGAGAUGUUUUUGGUUCAUAAGAUAUUGCUUUUUCUUGACUAUUUAACUUAGUUUCUGAAUGGGCACUUUUCUCUUCAAAUAAAACAUAUCAUUUUACUUAUUUGAUUAAUGUUUAUUUAGUUGUAUAAACAAAGCACUCGUGUUGUUGAUUGUUAUAGGUGACAUACUAAUUGGAACCUUAGUCAUAGUCAUGGUUGGAACUUCUUUUCUUAGGAUUUUCUUUGAUUGACAUAUUAUUUGUCGGGGUUGAUUAUUGAUUAUAUCUGUGUAAUGUGUAACUUAUCAUGUUCCUAACAACACCCUCCGUCCCAAAAUUCUUCUCUUAGAUUUGUCUAGAUACGGAUGUAUCUAAUACUAAAACGUAACUAGAUACAUCCGUAUUUAGACAAAUCUAAGACAAGAAUUUUGGGACAGAGGGAGUAUUAUUCAAUGCAAACAGUUGUUCAAGAGGAACCUGUCUGGAACUUUGGCACCAUCUGCAGUCCUUUCUCCCAGUUGAAAACACUCCAAGAGUUGAUAAUUAAUGGAAUUUGUUGUGCCCAAAGGUAAAACCAGAGAGUAUUAGAAACAUCAUCGACAUGAAAGCAAACUUUGGAUCAUGUGCGAACAUGGAGAGAGGAAGAUCGAUGAGACCUUGAAGAAUCAUGUGGUUGACAUUUCAACUUCGGAUAGAAGGUUUUCCGCAUUAUGUUGGUUGGCUUUCAUUAAGAUCAAUGAGUCAUCCGCAAAGAGAAGAUUUGUGACCGGUGGGGCGUCUCUACAGACUUUUACUCCUGAUAUGUUUCCAUUCUUCUCAGCAUGCACAAGCAAGGCAUUCAAUUCUUAUGUGCACAGCAAAAAAAGGAAUCAUCACGAUCGCCGUAUCAUUCCAACCCUCCGGUAUAGUGCAUGUGUUGAUUGCUGUCAGAACAUCCUCCCAGCAUGGGCCAAAACCUUUUAUAGAAGAUAGCAUGGAGUCCAUCUGGCCCUGGAGCUUUCAAGUCCCCAAUAUCAAAUAAAGCCUUGCGAACAUCUUCCGCGGUAUAAGGGGCAAGUAGAACAUCAUUCAUUUCGUUUGACACUCUCCUUUGAACAAGUGAUAAAACAUCUUGAUUCGGGUGUUGAACUUCCGAUGUAAAAAGCUUUGUA